Molecule: long non-coding RNA, 1409 nt
Filed under: Homo sapiens (human)
Lineage: Eukaryota; Metazoa; Chordata; Mammalia; Primates; Hominidae
Description: HSALNT0130939
Source: RNAcentral
CUGCAACCUCCGCCUCUCAGGUUCAAGUGAUUCUCCUACUUCACCCUCCCAAGUAGCUAGGAUUACAGGCACAUGCCACCAUGCCAGGCAGCUCUGAAUUUCCUUUGUUUGUUUGCUUUCUGAGUUGGGGUCCUCGUUCUGUCACCUAGGCUGGAGCGGACUGGUGCGUUCAUAGCUCACUGCAACUUAAAACUCCUGAGCUCAAGCCAUCCUCCACCUCAGCCUCCUGAUUAGCAGGGACUACAGGUGUGCACCACCAUGCUGGGCCAGCUCCAGAUUUCUUAUGCUCCGCAGGCUGGAGAAGUUAUGGAAGGGAUAUUCUGCAAGAUGAGGACAACUGAUUAUCAGAAGAAGGAAUGAGAACAUGAUCCUGCUUCUCUAGGGUUGAAGAGUCCCGGAAUAAACUGAACAAACAGAUGGCCUAUUUCUUCACUUGUAAAACAUUAAGUGUUAAAGUAUUAUAGAUAAUGUUUAAGGACUAUCCAGCCUUAAAAUCAAUGAGGAUUCAAAUAACUUGGGAAACCAGGUGGAUGAAACACAAACAAGAAAGGCAACGUCAGCAUGAACAUGGAGGAGGACGUCUUCGAGGGAGAGCUGGCAGGGCAAGUUCAAGAAAGAGAACCAUUCCGUGAAAGAGCACUUCUUCUACCAGCAGGUCUAGCACAGACCCGAUGUGUAUCCUGUAGCCUCAAGCUGUCCAGAAAGCUGCCAUCAGCCCUCCCUGAUGUGGGGUGCCGGCUGUCCGGGCUGAGCCACCAAUGCACAAGACACACCCUGGCCCAAAGUGCAUCACUAAGAGCCUCUCACAUUCUUCUGCUUCAAACAGGACCCAGGAGUACCGACUGAGGCAUUCGCCACCUUUAUUUACAGAACAGAUUUUGUCCAGCUUAGGAGUCAUCAGAUAAAGGAAGAAAACAUCUCAUUACAAAGUAGAAUUUCCCUGGAGACUCUCGGUCCCCAUAAAGGUGGUGGUCCUAGGGGGCAACAGAGACAAACUUCAGCAUCAGCAUUUUGACCUCCUUAGGAAAGCUGCUUGAGAGAGUCCAUACUCAGGUAUAAAACUUUCAAGGACAAAUUUAAGGAAAAUGGAAAACUAUUUCUACUUGUGGCUUCCUUACCAAGAACUUUCUCCUUUACAAGAAAAUGACUGCAUUCUGAUGGGAUCUGUGUGUUAAUAGUGAGACAAAAGUAUAAUCACCAUUUUUCAGAGACCCCUGUGGACUUUGACAAUGAGGUGCCAUGGGAGAUGGGCUAUUUUUCUCACAGUAGAGUCCCAAUAGGUGCUUUAUUUUGAAAUGUUCUGCUUACUAUUUUUAAUUAAAAAUACUGUUUACUUUCCUAUUACUACCUUUUUUGUGUUGAAUUUGGAAAAAAAAUACAAUAGACUCAAAGAAGAAAAUCAAAUCACC